CAGCCGCCGCGGGAAUACAGAGGGUGCGGGCGUUAAUCGGAUUUACUGGGCGUAAAGCGUGCGUAGGCGGCUUCUUAAGUCGGAUGUGAAAUCCCUGAGCUUAACUUAGGAAUUGCAUUCGAUACUGGGAAGCUAGAGUAUGGGAGAGGAUGGUAGAAUUCCAGGUGUAGCGGUGAAAUGCGUAGAGAUCUGGAGGAAUACCGAUGGCGAAGGCAGCCAUCUGGCCUAAUACUGACGCUGAGGUACGAAAGCAUGGGGAGCAAACAGGAUUAGAUACCCGUGUAGUCCCUGUCUCUUAUAC
This 301-nucleotide ribosomal RNA is filed under the name uncultured bacterium. RNAcentral describes it as "partial 16S ribosomal RNA". It matches the Rfam family "Bacterial small subunit ribosomal RNA", at positions 509 to 807 of the family's 1533-position model. The record is from RNAcentral.